UACAGAGGGGGCAAGCGUUAUUCGGAAUUAUUGGGCGUAAAGGGCGCGUAGGCGGCUUUGCAAGUGGCGGGUGAAAUCCCUCGGCUUAACCGAGGAACUGCCUGUCAAACUGCAUGGCUUGAGACCAGGAGAGGUGAGUGGAAUUCCCAGUGUAGCGGUGAAAUGCGUAGAUAUUGGGAGGAACACCAGUGGCGAAGGCGGCUCACUGGACUGGUACUGACGCUGAUGCGCGAAAGCUAGGGUAGCAAACGGG
Molecule: ribosomal RNA, 253 nt
Filed under: uncultured bacterium
Lineage: Bacteria
Description: partial 16S ribosomal RNA
Rfam family: Bacterial small subunit ribosomal RNA
Source: RNAcentral